This 460-nucleotide ribosomal RNA is filed under the name Arthrobacter sp. Its description in RNAcentral is "bacterial SSU rRNA". It matches the Rfam family "Bacterial small subunit ribosomal RNA", at positions 44 to 509 of the family's 1533-position model. The record is from RNAcentral. Lineage: Bacteria; Bacillati; Actinomycetota; Actinomycetes; Micrococcales; Micrococcaceae.
GUGCUUACACAUGCAGUCGAACGAUGAACCUCACUUGUGGGGGGAUUAGUGGCGAACGGGUGAGUAACACGUGAGUAACCUGCCCUUGACUCUGGGAUAAGCCUGGGAAACCGGGUCUAAUACUGGAUACGACCUUCUGGCGCAUGCCAUGUUGGUGGAAAGCUUUUGUGGUUUUGGAUGGACUCGCGGCCUAUCAGCUUGUUGGUGGGGUAAUGGCCUACCAAGGCGACGACGGGUAGCCGGCCUGAGAGGGUGACCGGCCACACUGGGACUGAGACACGGCCCAGACUCCUACGGGAGGCAGCAGUGGGGAAUAUUGCACAAUGGGCGCAAGCCUGAUGCAGCGACGCCGCGUGAGGGAUGAAGGCCUUCGGGUUGUAAACCUCUUUCAGUAGGGAAGAAGCCGGCCUUUUGGGUUGGUGACGGUACCUGCAGAAGAAGCGCCGGCUAACUACGUGCC